GACGAACGCUGGCGGCGUGCUUAACACAUGCAAGUCAAACGGAAAGGCCCUGCUUUUGUGGGGUGCUCGAGUGGCGAACGGGUGAGUAACACGUGAGUAACCUGCCCUUGACUUUGGGAUAACUUCAGGAAACUGGGGCUAAUACCGGAUAGGAGCUCCUGCUGCAUGGUGGGGGUUGGAAAGUUUCGGCGGUUGGGGAUGGACUCGCGGCUUAUCAGCUUGUUGGUGGGGUAGUGGCUUACCAAGGCUUUGACGGGUAGCCGGCCUGAGAGGGUGACCGGCCACAUUGGGACUGAGAGACGGCCCAGACUCCUACGGGAGGCAGCAGUGGGGAAUAUUGCACAAUGGGCGGAAGCCUGAUGCAGCAACGCCGCGUGCGGGAUGACGGCCUUCGGGUUGUAAACCGCUUUCGCCUGUGACGAAGCGUGAGUGACGGUAAUGGGUAAAGAAGCACCGGCUAACUACGUG
Molecule: ribosomal RNA, 468 nt
Filed under: uncultured bacterium
Lineage: Bacteria
Description: partial 16S ribosomal RNA
Rfam family: Bacterial small subunit ribosomal RNA
Source: RNAcentral